This 636-nucleotide ribosomal RNA is filed under the name Lacticaseibacillus casei. Its description in RNAcentral is "bacterial SSU rRNA". It matches the Rfam family "Bacterial small subunit ribosomal RNA", at positions 22 to 622 of the family's 1533-position model. The record is from RNAcentral. Lineage: Bacteria; Bacillati; Bacillota; Bacilli; Lactobacillales; Lactobacillaceae.
GCUCAGGAUGAACGCUGGCGGCGUGCCUAAUACAUGCAAGUCGAACGAGUUCUCGUUGAUGAUCGGUGCUUGCACCGAGAUUCAACAUGGAACGAGUGGCGGACGGGUGAGUAACACGUGGGUAACCUGCCCUUAAGUGGGGGAUAACAUUUGGAAACAGAUGCUAAUACCGCAUAGAUCCAAGAACCGCAUGGUUCUUGGCUGAAAGAUGGCGUAAGCUAUCGCUUUUGGAUGGACCCGCGGCGUAUUAGCUAGUUGGUGAGGUAAUGGCUCACCAAGGCGAUGAUACGUAGCCGAACUGAGAGGUUGAUCGGCCACAUUGGGACUGAGACACGGCCCAAACUCCUACGGGAGGCAGCAGUAGGGAAUCUUCCACAAUGGACGCAAGUCUGAUGGAGCAACGCCGCGUGAGUGAAGAAGGCUUUCGGGUCGUAAAACUCUGUUGUUGGAGAAGAAUGGUCGGCAGAGUAACUGUUGUCGGCGUGACGGUAUCCAACCAGAAAGCCACGGCUAACUACGUGCCAGCAGCCGCGGUAAUACGUAGGUGGCAAGCGUUAUCCGGAUUUAUUGGGCGUAAAGCGAGCGCAGGCGGUUUUUUAAGUCUGAUGUGAAAGCCCUCGGCUUAACCGAUAGAAG